Molecule: ribosomal RNA, 451 nt
Filed under: uncultured bacterium
Lineage: Bacteria
Description: partial 16S ribosomal RNA
Rfam family: Bacterial small subunit ribosomal RNA
Source: RNAcentral
GUGGGGAAUAUUGGACAAUGGGGGGAACCCUGAUCCAGCCAUGCCGCGUGUGUGAAGAAGGCCUUUUGGUUGUAAAGCACUUUAAGCGAGGAGGAGGCUACCGAGAUUAAUACUCUUGGAUAGUGGACGUUACUCGCAGAAUAAGCACCGGCUAACUCUGUGCCAGCAGCCGCGGUAAUACAGAGGGUGCAAGCGUUAAUCGGAUUUACUGGGCGUAAAGCGCGCGUAGGUGGCCAAUUAAGUCAAAUGUGAAAUCCCCGAGCUUAACUUGGGAAUUGCAUGCGAUACUGGUUGGCUAGAGUAUGGGAGAGGAUGGUAGAAUUCCAGGGGUAGCGGUGAAAUGCGUAGAGAUCUGGAGGAAUACCGAUGGCGAAGGCAGCCAUCUGGCCUAAUACUGACACUGAGGUGCGAAAGCAUGGGGAGCAAACAGGAUUAGAAACCCCGGUAGUCC